This 257-nucleotide unclassified non-coding RNA is filed under the name Hevea brasiliensis (rubber tree). The record is from RNAcentral. Lineage: Eukaryota; Viridiplantae; Streptophyta; Magnoliopsida; Malpighiales; Euphorbiaceae.
GAAAACAAAUGAACCAGCAAGAAGGAAGGUUAAAAAAACAAGAACUCAGGCAGAAAUAUCAUUUUGGUUUCCAUGAGCAGUUGAUUGAGUGCCAGAGGACUCAUGUCUGUGCUCCUCUUGACCUUUAGAGUUGGCAUCUUCAGAUUUCGACUCAGGGGGUGCGUUAGUACCUGCUGUGCCACAAAGUAUGCAAGGAUUUGAAGGUCUUUGAGAGCACCAAUUUUCUGGAACACUUAGGAAAUGUGUGUCGAUAAACU